GUUACAUUAAUAUUUAUUAAUGACUUUUUCAUAUUAAAAAUCUACUUUGAGCUUAUUAUAAUAAUGAACUAUCGAGAAGUCCAAAAAAAUUACUAUAUGACAAAGGUUAUUGUUACCUAUUUUGUUGGAAAGUAAUAACCAAGAUAAAGGCCAUUGACUUGUAAAAAAAGUUGGACUCAUAUGGUCUCUAACUUUUGUCACCUCUAUUUCUAUUUUAGGAGUUGUAGGGUUUCCUAGUCUGGUGUGGGGAUCAUCCCCGGUCCAUCGAGACCCGGCACCACCGCCCCAUCCCGGUCCGUCGUGUGGAUUUUGUCGGCUAAGAGACGAUGGCGACGAUCCUCUCUUUCUUUAUAGUUGUUAUCACAACAAACCUUAGAUUGUCUCCAAUAGAUAUUUUACAUAAAAAAGAAAAAUAGAAGAAUGGUUAUGUUUGCAUGUUUUUUGGCAGACGGUGGUGGCAAACGAAGGCACUACGAUCUCCGUAAAGGAUGGGAGGAAGUAUAGAUUAAAACGACGAUGUGGUUUUACUAAAGUACUGAUAAGUAAUAUUAUAUUGUUUUUACUUUUCUUUUGCUUUACAAAAUGCGCUUGCACCAAUGAAUACGUCACCUGCCUAUGCUACCUCUGCUAUGUCAACUCCUUUGGUGCUCAAUCAUGGAAUUGAUCCUUAUCUCACGGGAGAUAAGGUUGACGAAACCUUGUACCGGUUGAUGAUUGGCUAGCUCAUGUACUUAACGGCGUGACUCCUGUUAUAAAAGAAAACGCUUUCACUUUCUAACCUUUAGCCUUUGGAGGAGAUUGGAACAUGUUAGAGCAUAAGAAUGCCUUCGAGUCUCCAAUAUUGGCAGCAAGAAUAUGACUAUCUGCCACUAAUAUCACUAGUGCUGUGGAACCAGAAUUGAAGUUGUAUGUAGAAGCUUCUAUAAAAAGUAAUACAAAUCAUAAAUAAACAUAUAUAGGAGAGAGAGAAGAAAAAAUAGAAGGAUAAACAUCAACUACCACCAACCUUACAGAAUGCUGCAUCAAUAUCAUGAAUCACAUUUAACAAAGAUUCCUUGGGAAUUUCCAAGUGGAAAUCUUCAAUAAAGAUGUUAGACAGUGUAAACUCAAUCCUAUAACAAAAGUGCCAAAUAAGUCUACUUUCAGAAAAUUUCUAUAAAGGGAUUCAGAAAAUUUCUAUAAAAGGGAGAUUUUAAGAGUAUGUGCGAGAAAGAGAGAGGGAACAACCUUCCGAUAUGCAGCAUAUUAUAACCAUAUCCUCCUCUAUUCGGUAACAUUCCCUUUGAUAUGUUGGACAAAAAGCAAAAUGUGGUAUCCAAAAGAAAAGAUGUAUGCAGUAACAUACCUGAAGCCAUGUCAACUAGCUUCUGCACCAUUAUGCCCAUCGAAAGGUGCAAUUCAUAUGUCUCUGAUGCCAUCAGUGCCUGCAACACAUGAGAAAAAAAACCAUAUGAAAAACCUUAAUAAUUAUGGGAAGGGUGUUGCUAAAUGCACUCCCAUUUUUUUAAUUUUACUGGUUGCACUCCCCCCUGAAGUUUAUAAAUAAAUACAAUCUACCCUUGUAUUUUCUAUAUUUUGAAAAUUUGUAUUAGGAAAUAUCCCUAUUUUUUCUAGGGGUCUAUCUACUUGCAUAAUUUGAAUAUUUA
Long non-coding RNA from Helianthus annuus (common sunflower), 1646 nucleotides. RefSeq lists it as uncharacterized. The record is from RefSeq and is a predicted model, not a curated record. The transcript has 2 exons. NCBI's taxonomy places the organism in Eukaryota, Viridiplantae, Streptophyta, Magnoliopsida, Asterales, Asteraceae.